This 417-nucleotide ribosomal RNA is filed under the name uncultured bacterium. Its description in RNAcentral is "bacterial SSU rRNA". It matches the Rfam family "Bacterial small subunit ribosomal RNA", at positions 29 to 491 of the family's 1533-position model. The record is from RNAcentral.
AACGAACGCUGGCGGCAUGCCUAACACAUGCAAGUCGAACGAAGUCUUCGGACUUAGUGGCGCACGGGUGCGUAACGCGUGGGAAUCUGCCCUUGGGUGCGGAAUAACUUCUCGAAAGGGAUGCUAAUACCGCAUAAUGUCGUAAGACCAAAGAUUUAUCGCCCAAGGAUGAGCCCCGCGUAAGAUUAGCUAGUUGGUGGGGUAAAAGCCUACCAAGGCGACGAUCUUUAGCUGGUCUGAGAGGAUGAUCAGCCACACUGGGACUGAGACACGGCCCAGACUCCUACGGGAGGCAGCAGUGGGGAAUAUUGGACAAUGGGCGAAGCCUGAUCCAGCAAUGCCGCGUGAGUGAUGAAGGCCCUAGGGUUGUAAAGCUCUUUUACCAGGGAUGAUAAUGACAGUACCUGGAGAAUAAGC